Molecule: long non-coding RNA, 3830 nt
Organism: Brassica napus (rape)
Lineage: Eukaryota; Viridiplantae; Streptophyta; Magnoliopsida; Brassicales; Brassicaceae
Exons: 4
Source: RefSeq, a predicted model, not a curated record
UUAAAUCAUAAUUAGAAAUUAGAAAUCUUGAUGAGCAAGUCGGGUAAAUAAGGAAUAUACUUAAUGUUAAGAAUAUUUUUCAAAGAUUUGACAUGUUUUAUUUUUUGAUUACGUAGUUAGUUAGAUAUUAUUGAUAGGAAUAUACUUAUUGUAAUCAAUUCAACUUAUAAUUUCGUGAUUAUCAAGUAAGUAAGUAAUUAAGAUUGUCCAAGAUUUUUGGAAUGUUUGAUUUCUUAACAAAUUUGAAUUGAUAUUAUCCGAUUUAUCAAUUUAAUGAUAGGUGGCGAUAUUUAUUCUAAAUGUGAAACUUUAAAUGUAGGGGAUUAUUAUGUUAAGUAAUUAAGAUUGUCAAAGAUUUAAGGAACGAUUAUUCAAUUUCUUAACAGAUUUGAUAUAAUCCGAUUAAUUGUUUUAAUAAUUGGUGGUGAUAUAAAUUGGAAAAAAAUAAAAAUCACUAUUUUAACGAAAUGGUUUGUAAUUUUUUGUCUUAUAUAAAUAUGGAGUAAUAUAAUUAUUUAUAAUUUAAUAAACAGGCAAAACGAAAAUGUUUAAAAUCGGAAGUCAAAGUUGCAAUUUUUAAACAAACCGAGCCUAAAUACCUCAUGAUAUUCACUGUAAUACACAAAGUAUGAUUUAGAAAUAUUAUUAUAUUUCCUAUACUAUAGUAAUAUAUUAGUUUUGGUUUUUAGGUUAUUAAUCAAACUCCGAGAAACCAUUUCGUUUAAAGGAAUUUUCGUUUUGAUUACAAAUGGCAGUCCAAAAAACUGUAGACCAAAAACGUAAUGGGCUUUUAUAGUGAGAUUCACGUGAAAUAUUUAGAUUGAUUAGCCAAAUUGUUUUUAAUAAAGCCAGUGGCAAGGAUUCGUAAUUACUAAGAAAAUCUAAGGGUUAUUUUACAUUUGUACUCCACUUUUAAUAGGAUAGAUAAUUUAUCGGAUAAUUAAUUCUUGGUGCCAUGCAAUUGAAGAUAAAGUAUGAAAAAUCAACAGUGUUCUGGAUUAGUAAAACAAGUAUGGAUCGGAUCUUCCUAAUCAUGUGUCGGACCUUCAACUUAAAUAAGUCUUUUUUUUUUUAAAUUUGGCCGGCAUAAAAGGAUUUGAAGUUCACCUCUAAGUGGAGUAACUACUUUCCAUAGUGUAAGCUAAUCUUAUACAAUAAAACAGACUUGCCUUCUCUUCGUUAAGCCACGUCAGCAUGGAGAGAAGGGCAUUUUGUGCCACCUGGACGCCUCUCUUUAUUCAUCAAAAGCUGUUUUCGAGUUAUGUUGAAUGGGCUGUGAGAAUAACAAGUGCACAUAUCAGGCCUAUUACUUGCUUAAAAUUUUCUAAAAUAUUGCAAAACUGGGCUAUGUAGUUAGGGCACACUUUCAAAUUUGUAGGUUGCUUACCUUUCUAAACCUACCACCGGAGAUGAUGUAUCGUCGCGUAAACAACACUUCCCCUUCACAGUCGAGGUAUAUAAACACACCUCCCGAGAGAUCCUUCGAUCAUGGCGAAUUCUCCAAAUCAGAGCUCAUGUUCUAUCUCACAGAAAACCCUCGAUCAUGGCGAGUUCUCUAUUUAUUUUUGCGAGUUUAAGACAUGCGGAUGCAGCCAGACCAUUCAGACCAGACUGCGUCGAUUUUAGGAGACCCGAAAUGUACUGAAAGGGGACGAGCUAAUGGAUGUUGAUAUGCUUCUCAUUGAUGAAAAAGGUGUGCCGGUUCCUUAUUCCAAUUACUACUUUAAGAUUUAUGGCUUUUGAUGUUGGAGAGCACUCCAUGAUAAUUAAAUUUGUUAAGUUGCUGGUGAUUUUAGCAGGACUACCAUAUCUAACCAUUAAAAUUUAUUACUACUCGGGCUGUGUACUUCUGUAGUGGGGGGAUCUUUGUCCUCCAGAAUAUCUUCAUUAUGGGCUUCCAUCUUUUUCUAUAUACUCAUUUUACAUCUCCCAUAUGGAAAUAUGCUGGUAAGUGAGAUUUUGCUCUUUCUUUCCUAUUGUUUUUGACCGUUAAAUGCUAUGUACCUUUGCUUCUUUCUCUGGUUCUAGAUGUCUUUGUACAUAUGUUACUUUCCGUGUGUUAGUGUUUCUGAUAGUAAGGCUUUAUUAUUAUCUAGCACUUCGUUUCAUACAAAAUUUGUUAACUUUCGAGUCUUUUGCAGCAUCCUGAUUUGGUUUGGAACUUAAGCUCUUGUCCUUUCAUAUCUAGCACAGCGAUUGGGAAAAAAUCUCUACAGCUCAACUGUUCGGAUGAUCAUUUCCUUUUGUAACCAGACUUUUUGUAUUCUAAUUCAUAGGAAUGCACAGAUGGCAAGUGGAGCUUCAGUAGAGUUGCACAAUACUUCAGAAACAGUUAGUGAUUCUCUAUUUUUCCCUGAACCCUACUUGAGUCUGAAGGCAUGGACAUGUAAACAGACUAAGAGAGAGUUAUGUGUAUUGAUGUUGGAGACCCACAUAUUCAGAAGCAAGAGCUGUAAAAUUAAGAUCCAAUGUUUUUAUAGUAUUCGUAUCAAAGUACGCUCUUUAUUCUUUGCUUAUGUCACUACAGAUAAAAUCUUGGUCUGGACCAUCUGCUACUAAGUCUGAGAACCUGUUUUCCGAGUCUAAGAAUUCAAGACCUAGACACGGCCGCCACCUCUUUGUUGAUGGCCCUUCGACUUUGUAAUCAAUAGAGGCUAAGAAAGCCAUGGUUCCUGACAAACUCGCUGAGCUUUGGGUCGUUGACCCUGAGAGAUCUAAAAGGUUUCAUCUUUAAUCUGUCUUUGCACUUUCUCCAAGUAGUUAUUCAUGGUUUGUUACGGUGGGGUGAUGGAUCAGACUCCAUAACCUCUUUGUUCUAGAGACAUAAGUAUUCUGCAGACUAAUGUUUCUCAUUUAGUUUUGUUUUUAUGUCUAUAUUGGAAAUGGUACUCCCUGGAUAAAGAUAUUUUCUGCUCUUUCAUUAUAACCAUGAGUUUUGAUAACAUAAUUUCAUCAAUGUACGCAUCGAGUCAGAAUGACCCGCACCAAGUCGUGUGGAACAGCAAUCCUACAAAACUUUGUCCCAACUGUCAUCACGUCAUUGACAACAGAAGUUGAUGACUGGCCAGGCUUGCCUCAAGGUGUGAAAUUCGAUCCCUCUGAUCCAGAGAUCAUCUGCCAUUUGCUUGCAAAAUCUGGAUUGUUGGGUUUAAGCUCCCACCCUUUCAUUAAUGAGUUAAUCACAACUGUCAAUCAAGAUGAUGGAAUCUGUUACGCACAUCCUAAAAACUUACCAGUCUAGCCAUUUCAGUGAUCGUACCAGUUCUUCCAAGUUUUAUCUUAAUCCGAUUUUUUUUUAAAAACAAAUUGAGGUCUUAAGCACCACGGGACUGCGUCCCACUUUUCAAUAGAGCUAUCAAAACUUACAGCGCAUGAACUAACCAGUUGUAUUGGAUGGUGCGUUUAGUCACUGCCAUGGUAUCCAGUACAUGUUGGUCCAACACUACAAAACGUUGAUGCCUGCUUUUUAACUUUCCACUCUCUCCAACAACACCUCUUCUCUUUUUCUGCUUACUGCUAGAACCUUAUCUCCAGAGUGUCGUUGUGUUUAUCUUUUCGUACUCCAUUUCUUGAAGGAAAGUGAACGGUGUGCAAAACAUGCCUUUAAUGUCAAUGGAGAAGUCUCACGAGGAAGAGCAUUCACACAUUUUCUUUCAGGUGGCUAUGUUUGACGUUUCAGUAAGUACAAGUAUGCUCAGCUAAUGAUUGCUAGCCGAAUGAGUUAUUCAUUCAUUGUUGUGCAGUUUUUUGCCUCAAGUUUUAGUACUUUUUCAUGAGCGAAGUGGCCUCAAUAUUUACAGUUCAUAAGAGCAGCUAGAUUUAACACCGAA